UUCCUUAUGAUGACUAGACUUAACCAUUUACAUCAUAAUUAAGGUAUUAUGAAAUGAGACAACAGUGAGCCUUGGAAUGUAAACUUCUUGAGGGCAGGAAAAGUACAUUCCUUUUCACACAGCAUAGCCCCUGAUACCUACUAGGGGCUUAAAUGCUUGUCCACUGAUUGAAAAGUUGGUCCAAAAGAUGCCACGUCUUGGGACAGUAUGCUGUCAGUGCCCUCCUGGUUACUCUGGGGAAUCCAAUGUCAUGUGAAACGGAAAAGCUACCAGGAUGGAUUUUCCAUCCCUUGCUGAAAUCCCAUUGUGAAAGAGAAAAAUUUCAGUUCUUUGGAGACCGUGUCUUACAAUCAUAUAACAACCAAGAAUGCUGAUAUUAAAAGGUUGAGCCGUCGUUUCUGGAGAAAUUAGGCACAGUAGAGCCAACUCAUUUGGACUGCAACAUAACAGAUGUGAUUACAGGGGAGGCUGAAACAGCACAAAUGGGAACAAAGAUGGGAAAAGCAGCCAGAUUACAAGUGCUCAUAGAGAGUCUCCGCUCUGGAGGUGACCCAGCGUGAGAUCAGUUCUGGAGGGAUCUUAAAGAGAGGAAGAUACCAAAGUUGUGGAAAAACGUCUCUUGCCUUGUUAGUACUGCAGCAAAGUAACACAAAGAACAUUAAUAACUCCAGAACUACAUGCCUUCUUUUCCUUCUAUAUACAAUUUUAUUAUAUGUCCUUGAUGAG
RNAcentral lists this long non-coding RNA (726 nucleotides) under Monodelphis domestica (gray short-tailed opossum). RNAcentral describes it as "lncRNA (ENSMODG00000050819.1)". The record is from RNAcentral. Lineage: Eukaryota; Metazoa; Chordata; Mammalia; Didelphimorphia; Didelphidae.